AACGAACGCUGGCGGCAUGCCUAACACAUGCAAGUCGAACGAUCCCUUCGGGGAUAGUGGCGCACGGGUGCGUAACGCGUGGGAACCUGCCCUUAGGUUCGGAAUAACUCAGAGAAAUUUGAGCUAAUACCGGAUAAUGUCUUCGGACCAAAGAUUUAUCGCCUUUGGAUGGGCCCGCGUUGGAUUAGCUGGUUGGUGGGGUAAAGGCCUACCAAGGCGACGAUCCAUAGCUGGUCUGAGAGGAUGAUCAGCCACACUGGGACUGAGACACGGCCCAGACUCCUACGGGAGGCAGCAGUGGGGAAUAUUGGACAAUGGGCGAAAGCCUGAUCCAGCAAUGCCGCGUGAGUGAUGAAGGCCUUAGGGUUGUAAAGCUCUUUUACCCGGGAUGAUAAUGACAGUACCGGGAGAAUAAGCCCCGGCUAACUCCGUG
RNAcentral lists this ribosomal RNA (433 nucleotides) under uncultured bacterium. RNAcentral describes it as "partial 16S ribosomal RNA". It matches the Rfam family "Bacterial small subunit ribosomal RNA", at positions 29 to 507 of the family's 1533-position model. The record is from RNAcentral.